Molecule: small RNA, 133 nt
Filed under: Klebsiella variicola
Lineage: Bacteria; Pseudomonadati; Pseudomonadota; Gammaproteobacteria; Enterobacterales; Enterobacteriaceae
Description: RtT sRNA
Rfam family: RtT RNA
About the family: This family represents a bacterial cis-regulatory element known as RtT RNA. The exact function of RtT is unknown although it is thought that it may be involved in changing the cellular response in relation to amino acid starvation.
Source: RNAcentral
UAUUCUACCCGACGGGGAAGGAUGAGAAGCUUCGACUAAGGUUCGACUCGAGCGCCAGCGAGAGAACGUUGCCGCAGGCAAUGGCCCGAAGGGCGAGGAGCGAUAGCGACGAGUUAUCCUUCCCCCUCUAUUC